RNAcentral lists this ribosomal RNA (250 nucleotides) under uncultured bacterium. RNAcentral describes it as "partial 16S ribosomal RNA". It matches the Rfam family "Bacterial small subunit ribosomal RNA", at positions 524 to 776 of the family's 1533-position model. The record is from RNAcentral.
UACGAAGGGGGCUAGCGUUGUUCGGAUUUACUGGCGUAAAGCGCACGUAGGCGGUUUGUUAAGUCAGGGGUGAAAUCCCACAGCUCAACUGUGGAACUGCCUUUGAUACUGGCAGCUAGAGUCCGGAAGAGGUAAGUGGAACUCCUAGUGUAGAGGUGGAAUUCGUAGAUAUUAGGAAGAACACCAGUGGCGAAGGCGGCUUACUGGUCCGGAACUGACGCUGAGGUGCGAAAGCGUGGGAGCAAACAGG